RNAcentral lists this ribosomal RNA (566 nucleotides) under uncultured bacterium. RNAcentral describes it as "partial 16S ribosomal RNA". It matches the Rfam family "Bacterial small subunit ribosomal RNA", at positions 355 to 914 of the family's 1533-position model. The record is from RNAcentral.
UGGGGAAUUUUGGACAAUGGGGGAAACCCUGAUCCAGCCAUCCCGCGUGUGCGAUGAAGGCCUUCGGGUUGUAAAGCACUUUUGGCAGGAAAGAAACGUCGCGGGUUAAUACCCCGCGAAACUGACGGUACCUGCAGAAUAAGCACCGGCUAACUACGUGCCAGCAGCCGCGGUAAUACGUAGGGUGCAAGCGUUAAUCGGAAUUACUGGGCGUAAAGCGUGCGCAGGCGGUUCGGAAAGAAAGAUGUGAAAUCCCAGAGCUUAACUUUGGAACUACAUUUUUAACUACCGGGCUAGAGUGUGUCAGAGGGAGGUGGAAUUCCGCGUGUAGCAGUGAAAUGCGUAGAUAUGCGGAGGAACACCGAUGGCGAAGGCAGCCUCCUGGGAUAACACUGACGCUCAUGCACGAAAGCGUGGGGAGCAAACAGGAUUAGAUACCCUGGUAGUCCACGCCCUAAACGAUGUCAACUAGCUGUUGGGGCCUUCGGGCCUUGGUAGCGCAGCUAACGCGUGAAGUUGACCGCCUGGGGAGUACGGUCGCAAGAUUAAAACUCAAAUGAAUUGAC